This 680-nucleotide long non-coding RNA is filed under the name Anser brachyrhynchus (Pink-footed goose). RNAcentral's name for it is "lncRNA (ENSABRG00000014126.1)". The record is from RNAcentral. Lineage: Eukaryota; Metazoa; Chordata; Aves; Anseriformes; Anatidae.
CUGGGUAUACUUUGCUACAGACGGAAUUCUGAUGAGGAUGUUCUUAGUUUUUCUUACAUAAUCUGCUUCUUUUCAAUAAGUCUGUCUGUGAUUACAGUGGCAGCCAACAAUACAUAGUGACUCAAUGAGCUACCACGCAGAUGACUCAUCAGAUCUGCUAAGGUGACUGCAAGGCCAUCAAGGGAACAAUAAGGAGAGCACGUGACAUUGGACUGUGAUGUUACUCUCCCUUUGACAUGCAGAAGUUUCGCAGAACCAGCUCUACCGAACCUUAUGUGAAUUCCCUGGGCUGCACACAACUCUGCACGAUCUGCAGAGGGGGCCUGGCAGUGCCUGCUUGGCUCUGAAGACAACAGCAAAAAGCUGACAUAGUUUUUAGACUGGCUAUUUCACGUUUAGAAGCUGGAAAGUCUUACAUGUUCAGCCCUAGUCCAGUUUUUUUCCAAUUUUUUUUCAGGUUAGUGCUAAAAUUCACUGAAAGUUAAAGCAAGAGUAAGUCCAAAAGGAAAAAAAUAUGUAUAUAUAUAUAUAUAUAUUCUAUGAAAUGAACUUCAUACAAAAAAAGUUACAGUGUAAUCCUGUCCAAUAGGCCAUUGCUGCUAGGCACAAGUUUAUACAUAGUCAUUGCCAUCGCAGGGUGUUUGUCUACAGAGUCCAUCCUUUCCUGCAACAGAAGGAAU